UGGGUUGCUGAUUUUCAUAAAUAUCUCAUGUAGGAGAGGAUCCCUUCAGGUUGCUCAUAGCUGCAUGAAGACAUUCGGCCUCUACAAAUCGUCUGCAUGAAGAUCGAUGCAGAUCAGGCUCCUUGAAAGUACUAGUUUGCAAGAAUCUUCAAAAGCUGAAUUCUCUUUUCUUCUUUAGAUCUCUUGGAUGCUCCAAAGGAGAGGAAGAAUUAGAGGAGGA
This 220-nucleotide long non-coding RNA is filed under the name Elaeis guineensis (African oil palm). RNAcentral describes it as "long non-coding RNA (EGUI_LNC028111)". The record is from RNAcentral. Lineage: Eukaryota; Viridiplantae; Streptophyta; Magnoliopsida; Arecales; Arecaceae.